RNAcentral lists this long non-coding RNA (4251 nucleotides) under Canis lupus familiaris (dog). Its description in RNAcentral is "lncRNA (ENSCAFG00000052016.1, ENSCAFG00845002245.1)". Lineage: Eukaryota; Metazoa; Chordata; Mammalia; Carnivora; Canidae. The record is from RNAcentral.
AUUUUUUUUUUUUUUUUUUUUUAAGAGAGGGUGCGUGAGCAUGGUAGGGAGGGGGCAGAGAGAGAGGGAGAGAGAACCUUUUUUUUUUUUUUUUAAAGAUUUUAUUUGUUUAUUCAUCAGAGACACAGAGAGAGGCAGAGACACAGACAGAGGGAGAAGCAGGAGCUUCAACAGGAGCCUAAUGUGGGACUCGAUCCCAGGACCCCAGGAUCACAACCUGAGCUGAAGGCAGAUGCUCAACUGCUGGGCCACCCAGGCGCCCCCAUGGAGAGGGAAUCUUAAGCAGACUUCUGCUGAGCACGGAGCCCCGUUAAGGAAUUGGAUCUCACAACCUUGAGAUCAUGACCUGUGCUGAAAUCAAGAGUUAGAUGCUCAAGCAACUGAGCCAGCCAGGUGCCCCUCAAACAUUAAGAAUUUUUUAAAAAAUUAGUGAAACUAAAUAUUUGGUGUGUUUCAAAUAGAAAAACAAUUUUUACUAUCAGCAAAAAUAUAAAUCAAAAGUUUUAAUAGGAGCGAUUAGAUGAGGAAAAUAAAUGCAUUACUCAAAAACAAACACUACAUGAAAAUGAAAAUCUAUUAAAUCUUUUAAAAAGUAGAGUCUUCAAUAUAAGAGACUUUCAUGAUUUUAUUUAGUUGUGACUGGUGUUUUAUGCAAGAUCUUCUGUAGUCUUUUUUUUUUUGGCAUCAUUAACUAGGGAAGAAAUAAGGAAAAUAGUUAUAAGCUAGUUCCAAAUAUUUUUCUUUGACCUAUUGAUUUUUUUUUAUUAAUUUCUCUUAUUUGAUGCCCAAAGAAGAUCUUUUCAAGUUCUUUUAAGAAUCUUUAGUCUAGGGGAUCCCUGGGUGGCGCAGCAGUUUGGCGCCUGCCUUUGGCCCAGGGCGCGAUCCUGGAGACCCAGGAUCGAAUCCCACAUCAGGCUCCCGGUGCAUGGAGCCUGCUUCUCCCUCUGCCUAUGUCUCUGCCUCUCUCUCUCUCUCUCUGUGACUAUCAUAAAUAAAUAAAUUAAUUUAAAAAAAUAUUAAAAAAAAAAAAAGAAUCUUUAGUCUAUUGAUAUGCGGCUCUAGUUUUUCAUUUCAAAGAAAGCGUUUCUGAUUUGUCUUGACCUUCUUUGAUUUUUAUUGUGUAUGUAGGGAUUCUGAUGCAGUUGCCCAUAUACACACGAAUGCUGUUAUGUGUAGAAGGUAUUUGAAAUAAAAUAAAAAUUAUUCUUGCAAUAUAAGUGUUACAAUACUGCAGCAUAUCCUAGACCAUGCAUUAGUUGGUUCUUUCACGUAAUUAUUCGCAGGACGUAUGUCAGAUUUUAGAUCUUUAAGAAGACAGUGAGGUGAUAGUAUUGGGACAACCUAGAAUAUCUGUUCAUACAUAUUUAAAAUACCCAGAGCAUACCAGCAGCUGGAGGUGCAGCCCCUGAAGGCGUGAGGCCCGGGGUCUGCUCGAGCCCAGAGAGGUGUGCGUGGCUGCGGUGAGUCUCACAGUAGCAGGCUAGCAGGGGCCAGGCUACCAUCCAGGCCAGGGAGGCUGAGAUGUGGAAGAGUGCUGAGGAGUCACUGCACACUUUAAGGCCUCAGCUUGCCUGUUCAGGAAGAGCUUGCUAGCUGUAGACAGGAAGACGUUUUACAAAAGUCAGGUAGGUUACGAUGUUAUAUGAUCUCAGCACAGGGCAUGUGUUUCUGGAUGAAGCAAAUUAAAAGGGGCCGGUGAGGAGGGCUGCUACCAGAUGAGCAGUUGUGAGUGUGGUCCCCAGAGGAGCAGCGUCAGCAUCACCUGGAAACCUGUGAGAAAUACAGUCUCCGUCUGGCUCGGACACUGUGAUGCUGAGGCCCAGCUGCUCCAUGUGUGAUGCUGUUGCACACUAAAUUUUCAGAAUACCUGUUCUCGAUAAUAAGAAUGUAGAGCCAAUAGGACCUUGAGAGUGCUGAGAUGAGGAUGGGCUGUGACAGGACCUCAGUGGGACUUCUGGUCGCCUGGCCUGUCGGCCACAGGCUCUCAGUGGGACUUCUGGUCACUUGGCCUGUUGGCCACAGGCUCUUAGUGGGGCUUUUGGUCGUCUGGCCUGUCGGCCACAGGCUCUCAGUGGGAUUUUGGUCACUUGGCCUAUUGGCCAUAGGCUCUUAGUGGGACUUUUGGUUGUCUGGCCUGUUGGCCACAGGCUCUCAGUCAGACUUCUGGUCACUUGGCCUGUCGGCCACAGGCUCUCACUGGGACUUCUGGUCACUUGACCUGUCGGCCACAGAUUCUCAGUGGGAUUUCUGGUCGCUUGGCCUGUUGGCCACCAGCUCUUAGUGGGACUUUUGGUCAUCUGGCCGGUCGGCCACAGGCUUUCAGGGGACUUCUGAGUGCCUGGCUUUUUGCAGGGUAGAUGAGAGCACCCUUCAUUGAGGCAGAACAUGGGAGAUUUAGUAGGUUUGUGAGCAUAAUGAUGACUUUGGUUUUUGGCAUGUUGAAUUUGGGGGCACUUGUGAAAAUUCCAAGUAGAUUUGUCCAGGGGCUGUUGGGGAAACAGAUUUAUACUUCAGCAGAUUGCUUUGGGCUAGAAAUAGAGAUUUUAGGGUUGUGAGUGUGUACAUGAUAGUUAGGGUGGUUCAGUUUAAAGGCUUGUGCUUAUUUCUGCAGAAUAACAAGAAUGAAAAGAGUGGAGGUGUAAGAAGCCCCAGGAACACCAGGCUUGGGGUAAAGAAAAGGAGAGGAUUUUGUGAAGGGAGUAAUAACUGAUUCCAGGAGAUAGAAUUGCUACUGAAUUUAAGCAAGAAGGAGCUUGAACAAAAGUGGUCAGCACCUGUCAGGUGGAAGGUGUUUGUCUAACUGACACUCUGAGGUCAGUGGCGGUAUUAGUGUGUCCAGUUUCAGUGAGGUCAGAAGCCAGUGGGCGGUGGGAUGUGGCUGGGGGACUCUAGGUGAUUUGCUACACUAAACAUGUCUUCAGAAGCCAUACUAAAAUGGCAAUAAAAUGAUUUUUUUUUAAAAGGCAGAAACCUAUAAGGGCAAAGGAAGCAAAAAGGUGGCAAUAGUCACAAAAUUUUGGAAGUUGGAUGCAGAUAAGCGAGUGGUAAGUGACUUAGCUCAUCGAGUAAACUGAGUCCUAAGCCCAAGAACUCUCAUAAGAUGUGGAGAAUAAUGGCACAAGGUUCUUCAGGAAGAAGGGUGUAAAGGUGGAGCAACAACCAGGAAGAUUGGUAGAAAAGUUUAUUUAAAAACACCACUUAAGGGGCACCCGGGUGGCUUAGUUGGUUCAGCAUCUGACUCUUGAGCUCAGCUCAGAUCUUAAUCUCAGGGUUGUGAGUUUGGUCCUGUGUUGGGCUCCACACUAGGCAUGGAGCCUACUUUAAAAAAAAUAGAAAAGAAAAAAAAUCAUUUAAAUCCUCAACUUUCUGGGCAGCUUUUCAUGCUCAACUGUAGCAGAAGACCAGAGGUUUAAUCUCUGGAGCAGAUCAUGUCACAUAAGAGAUGAGGCAUAGCUGGGGGUAGGGCCAUAGUAAAAACAAGGCCAUGUCUUGCUGUGUUAGGACCUAGGUGGCUUAUGAACGACAGACGUGUAUUCCUCACAGCUCUGGAGGCUGGAGGUACAAGAUCGUGGUAUCAGCAGAUUCGGUGUCUGGUGAGAUCCUGCUUCUGGGUUCAUUGAUGGCCAUCUUUGUGCUGUGCCCUCACACGGUGGGAGGCGUAAGGGAGCUCCCUGGGAUCUCUUUUAUGACACUAAACACAUUCACCAGGGUGCCACCAUCAUGACCUAAUGACCUUCCAACGGCCCUACUUCCUAAUACCAUCCCCUUGGGGGUUAGAAUUUCAACAUACGACUUUUAUAUACACAAGAACAUGCACAUGCUGGCACACAUACUCUGCAUGGGAGAUUGCCAAUUCCUUCACUGGGGAAUAUGACCAGCUUUAGCAGAAACACUCAUGGUGACAUUGGGGCUUCCUGAGGCAAUCGGCCAAGCAGAUUACCCAGCGCCAAGGGCUUACAGUCUUCAGACUCUACCCAAGUCUUCAGAUUUUCAAACACAGUUUUAGUGCCCCACUCCUAAAUAGUGGUAAUAAGCCAAGGAAUGCCAAACAUCUGAAAAGAAACUCUAAGAUGAAGGUUGGAUGUGAAAACAAACAUUCAACUUGGAAGAAAUAGUCCAUGCAGGGAAAAGAAAACAUCUAAAUUUCUUCAGCACAUUCAGAGAAAAGAAGACAGUGUAUCCACAAAAUAACAGGAUCUAUCUAUCUAUAUAUAUUCACACACACACACAUGAAUAUUUGGACAUAAUUAA